RNAcentral lists this transfer RNA (77 nucleotides) under Spirochaetes bacterium GWE1_32_154. RNAcentral's name for it is "tRNA-Asp". It matches the Rfam family "tRNA". From Rfam's summary of the family: Transfer RNA (tRNA) molecules are approximately 80 nucleotides in length. Their secondary structure includes four short double-helical elements and three loops (D, anti-codon, and T loops). Further hydrogen bonds mediate the characteristic L-shaped molecular structure. tRNAs have two regions of fundamental functional importance: the anti-codon, which is responsible for specific mRNA codon recognition, and the 3' end, to which the tRNAs corresponding amino acid is attached (by aminoacyl-tRNA synthetases). tRNAs cope with the degeneracy of the genetic code in two manners: having more than one tRNA (with a specific anti-codon) for a particular amino acid; and 'wobble' base-pairing, i.e. permitting non-standard base-pairing at the 3rd anti-codon position. Lineage: Bacteria; Pseudomonadati; Spirochaetota. The record is from RNAcentral. RNAcentral also lists the same sequence under 4 other names.
GAUUGCGUAGCGAAGUUGGUUAUCGCGUCGGCCUGUCAAGCCGAAGAUCGCGGGUUCGAGCCCCGUCGCGAUCGCAA